RNAcentral lists this ribosomal RNA (1041 nucleotides) under Anaerococcus sp. enrichment culture clone MRHull-Fe-11D. RNAcentral's name for it is "bacterial SSU rRNA". It matches the Rfam family "Bacterial small subunit ribosomal RNA", at positions 336 to 1397 of the family's 1533-position model. The record is from RNAcentral. Lineage: Bacteria; Bacillati; Bacillota; Tissierellia; Tissierellales; Peptoniphilaceae.
CUCCUACGGGAGGCAGCAGUGGGGAAUUUUGCACAAUGGGGGAAACCCUGAUGCAGCGACGCCGCGUGAUUUAGAAGGCCUUCGGGUUGUAAAAAUCUUUUGUAUAGGAAGAAAAUGACAGUACUAUACGAAUAAGGUCCGGCUAAUUACGUGCCAGCAGCCGCGGUAAUACGUAAGGACCGAGCGUUGUCCGGAAUCAUUGGGCGUAAAGGGUACGUAGGCGGCUAGAAAAGUUAGAAGUCAAAGGCUAUAGCUCAACUAUAGUAAGCUUCUAAAACUAUUUAGCUUGAGAAAUGGAAGGGAAAGUGGAAUUCCUAGUGUAGCGGUGGAAUGCGCAGAUAUUAGGAAGAAUACCGGUGGCGAAGGCGACUUUCUGGCCAUUAUCUGACGCUGAGGUACGAAAGCGUGGGUAGCAAACAGGAUUAGAUACCCUGGUAGUCCACGCCGUAAACGAUGAGUGUUAGGUGUCUGGAGUCAAAUCUGGGUGCCGCAGCAAACGCAUUAAACACUCCGCCUGGGGAGUACGCACGCAAGUGUGAAACUCAAAGGAAUUGACGGGGACCCGCACAAGCAGCGGAGCAUGUGGUUUAAUUCGACGCAACGCGAAGAACCUUACCAAGUCUUGACAUAUUACAGAAGCAGUUAGGGAUAAUUGCUUACAUCUUCGGAUGACUGUAAUACAGGUGGUGCAUGGUUGUCGUCAGCUCGUGUCGUGAGAUGUUGGGUUAAGUCCCAUAACGAGCGCAACCCCUAUUGCUAGUUACCAUCAUUAAGUUGGGGACUCUAGUAAUACUGCCGGUGACAAACCGGAGGAAGGUGGGGAUGACGUCAAAUCAUCAUGCCCUUUAUGACUUGGGCUACACACGUGCUACAAUGGCAGGUACACAGGGUUGCAAGACUGCGAAGUUAAGCGAAACUCAAAAAGCCUGUCCCAGUUCGGAUUGCACUCUGCAACUCGAGUGCAUGAAGUUGGAGUUGCUAGUAAUCGUGGAUCAGAAUGCCGCGGUGAAUGCGUUCCCGGGUCUUGCACACACCGCCCGU